GUAGGGAAUCUUCCACAAUGGACGAAAGUCUGAUGGAGCAACGCCGCGUGAGUGAAGAAGGGUUUCGGCUCGUAAAACUCUGUUGUUAAAGAAGAACAUAUCUGAGAGUAACUGUUCAGGUAUUGACGGUAUUUAACCAGAAAGCCACGGCUAACUACGUGCCAGCAGCCGCGGUAAUACGUAGGUGGCAAGCGUUGUCCGGAUUUAUUGGGCGUAAAGCGAGCGCAGGCGGUUUUUUAAGUCUGAUGUGAAAGCCUUCGGCUCAACCGAAGAAGUGCAUCGGAAACUGGGAAACUUGAGUGCAGAAGAGGACAGUGGAACUCCAUGUGUAGCGGUGAAAUGCGUAGAUAUAUGGAAGAACACCAGUGGCGAAGGCGGCUGUCUGGUCUGUAACUGACGCUGAGGCUCGAAAGUAUGGGUAGCAAACAGGAUUAGAUACCCUGGUAGUCCAUACCGUAAACGAUGAAUGCUAAGUGUUGGAGGGUUUCCGCCCUUCAGUGCUGCAGCUAACGCAUUAAGCAUUCCGCCUGGGGAGUACGGCCGCAAGGCUGAAACUCAAAGGAAUUGACGGGGGCCCGCACAAGCGGUGGAGCAUGUGGUUUAAUUCGAAGCUACGCGAAGAACCUUACCAGGUCUUGACAUACUAUGCAAAUCUAAGAGAUUAGACGUUCCCUUCGGGGACAUGGAUACAGGUGGUGCAUGGUUGUCGUCAGCUCGUGUCGUGAGAUGUUGGGUUAAGUCCCGCAACGAGCGCAACCCUUAUUAUCAGUUGCCAGCAUUAAGUUGGGCACUCUGGUGAGACUGCCGGUGACAAACCGGAGGAAGGUGGGGAUGACGUCAAAUCAUCAUGCCCCUUAUGACCUGGGCUACACACGUGCUACAAUGGAUGGUACAACGAGUUGCGAACUCGCGAGAGUAAGCUAAUCUCUUAAAGCCAUUCUCAGUUCGGAUUGUAGGCUGCAACUCGCCUACAUGAAGUCGGAAUCGCUAGUAAUCGCGGAUCAGCAUGCCGCGGUGAAUACGUUCCCGGGCCUUGUACACACCGCCCGUCACACCAUGAGAGUUUGUAACACCCAAAGUCGGUGGGGUAACCUUUUAGGAACCAGCCGCCUAAGGUGGGACAGAUGAUUAGGGUGAAGUCGUAACAAGGUAGCCGUAGGAGAACCUGCGGUGUCC
Molecule: ribosomal RNA, 1176 nt
Filed under: Lactiplantibacillus plantarum
Lineage: Bacteria; Bacillati; Bacillota; Bacilli; Lactobacillales; Lactobacillaceae
Description: bacterial SSU rRNA
Rfam family: Bacterial small subunit ribosomal RNA
Source: RNAcentral